GUUGAAUCCACAUUUAGUGACAAUGAAUCAAGUUCUAUUCCAUUGUUCAUAAAAUAAAAAUUCACCAUCCUGAUUUACACUUGCAUCUUCACCAUCUCGGCCAUUGCCUGGCAUUACUGCUCAUGGUAAUAACUUCACAUUCAUGGUUUUCGAACUUCUCUUGCAAUCUUCCAGAUCAAAACAGCCCAUUUGAGCACAAGUUUUAAAUCUUCCAACAACCUUCAAUAUUCUCGAACCACAAAGUUUAAAUUUGACUAGUAAUUCCAUCACCUUUUGUGGUAUAAAUUGGAUGAGAAUCCACACCAGCAAAUUAGAAUCACUCGAAGGAAAAGAGUUUAGCAGAUGAUGCUGACACAACAGUUCAGUUACAAUAAGAAAAAUGCAGACGCUUUCUUUGCGACCAGAAGAGAACUUACCUGAGCUUGCAGACAUUGACUGUAAGGUGUUUGCA
Molecule: unclassified non-coding RNA, 451 nt
Filed under: Hevea brasiliensis (rubber tree)
Lineage: Eukaryota; Viridiplantae; Streptophyta; Magnoliopsida; Malpighiales; Euphorbiaceae
Source: RNAcentral